Molecule: ribosomal RNA, 605 nt
Filed under: Rhodosporidiobolus colostri
Lineage: Eukaryota; Fungi; Basidiomycota; Microbotryomycetes; Sporidiobolales; Sporidiobolaceae
Description: partial large subunit ribosomal RNA
Rfam family: Eukaryotic large subunit ribosomal RNA
Source: RNAcentral
GCAUAUCAAUAAGCGGAGGAAAAGAAACUAACAAGGAUUCCCCUAGUAGCGGCGAGCGAAGCGGGAAGAGCUCAAAUUUGUAAUCUGGCGCUUUCAGCGUCCGAGUUGUAAUCUCUAGAAAUGUUUUCCGCGUUGCACCGCACACAAGUCUGUUGGAAUACAGCGGCACAGUGGUGAGACCCCCGUUCAUGGUGCGGAUGCGCAAUGCUUUGUGAUACAUUUUCGAAGAGUCGAGUUGUUUGGGAAUGCAGCUCAAAUUGGGUGGUAAAUUCCAUCUAAAGCUAAAUAUUGGCGAGAGACCGAUAGCGAACAAGUACCGUGAGGGAAAGAUGAAAAGCACUUUGGAAAGAGAGUUAACAGUACGUGAAAUUGUUGGAAGGGAAACGCUUGAAGUCAGACUUGCUGUUCGGAGUUCAGCCGCAAGGUGUACUCUCCGAGUUGCAGGCCAGCAUCAGUUUUUCGGGGUGGAAAAUCACGGUUUGAAGGUAGCAGUUUCGGCUGUGUUAUAGCUUUCCGUUGGAUACAUCCUGGGGGACUGAGGAACGCAGUGUGCUUUUAGCAGGGGUUUCGACCUCUUCACACUUAGGAUGCUGUGAGCUGCGGUU